This 443-nucleotide ribosomal RNA is filed under the name uncultured bacterium. RNAcentral's name for it is "partial 16S ribosomal RNA". It matches the Rfam family "Bacterial small subunit ribosomal RNA", at positions 338 to 795 of the family's 1533-position model. The record is from RNAcentral.
CCUACGGGUGGCAGCAGUGGGGAAUAUUGGGCAAUGGAGGAAACUCUGACCCAGCAACGUCGCGUGAAUGAUGACGGUCCUCGGAUUGUAAAGCUCCUUUUUAAUGGAAGUAGAAAGUGACGGUACCUUAGGAAUAAGCCUCGGAUAACUACGGGCCAGCGGCCGCGGCAAUACGUAGGAGGCAAGCGUUAUCCGGAUUGACUGGGGGUAAAGGGUGCGUAGGUGGAUUGACAAGUUGGUAGCGUAAUUCCGGGGCUCAACCUCGGCACUACUGCCAAAACUGUCGGUCUUGAGUGCAGGAGAGGCAAACGGAAUUCCUAGUGUAGCGGUGAAAUGCGUAGAUAUUAGGAAGAACACCGGUGGCGAAGGCGAUUUACUGGACUGUAACUGACACUGAGGCACGAAAGCGUGGGGAGCAAACAGGAUUAGAUACCCUAGUAGUC